This 272-nucleotide small RNA is filed under the name Proteus vulgaris. RNAcentral describes it as "5' ureB small RNA". It matches the Rfam family "5' ureB small RNA". The record is from RNAcentral. Lineage: Bacteria; Pseudomonadati; Pseudomonadota; Gammaproteobacteria; Enterobacterales; Morganellaceae.
UUGUUGCGGACAGAUAAAGUGAAUAUGCGUAUCAACACCACCUGCGGUAACAAUCUUACCUUCACCCGCAACUACUUCUGUAGCAGGCCCAACAAUAAUAUCCACAUUGGGUUGCACAUCCGGAUUACCCGCUUUGCCAAUACCGACAAUACGGCCAUCCUUAAUACCGAUAUCCGCUUUGACUAUACCCCAAUGGUCUAAAAUAAUGGCAUUAGUGAUAAGGACAUCGACACACGCCGCAUUCACAACUUGACUCUGCCCCAUGCCAUCAC